This is a non-coding RNA of Cryptococcus amylolentus CBS 6039, 99 nucleotides long. Lineage: Eukaryota; Fungi; Basidiomycota; Tremellomycetes; Tremellales; Cryptococcaceae. The record is from the annotation of a RefSeq genome assembly.
AACAGCGUAAUUCAGAGGAAGAAUGCGAGGCUCAUAUGACGUAAUUACUUACGAAAAUUGAUCACCUCGAAGUCAUGGGAUCGAAACCCAUCGCUGUUA